RNAcentral lists this ribosomal RNA (497 nucleotides) under uncultured bacterium. RNAcentral describes it as "partial 16S ribosomal RNA". It matches the Rfam family "Bacterial small subunit ribosomal RNA", at positions 28 to 507 of the family's 1533-position model. The record is from RNAcentral.
GAUGAACGCUGGCGGCGUGCCUAAUACAUGCAAGUCGAGCGAACAGACGAGGAGCUUGCUCCUUCGGCGUUAGCGGCGGACGGGUGAGUAACACGUAGGUAACCUACCUAUAUGACUGGGAUAACUUCGGGAAACCGGAGCUAAUACCGGAUAAUAUUUCGAACCGCAUGGUUCGAUAGUGAAAGAUGGCUUUGCUAUCACUUAUAGAUGGACCUGCGCCGUAUUAGCUAGUUGGUAAGGUAACGGCUUACCAAGGCAACGAUACGUAGCCGACCUGAGAGGGUGAUCGGCCACACUGGAACUGAGACACGGUCCAGACUCCUACGGGAGGCAGCAGUAGGGAAUCUUCCGCAAUGGGCGAAAGCCUGACGGAGCAACGCCGCGUGAGUGAUGAAGGUCUUCGGAUCGUAAAACUCUGUUAUUAGGGAAGAACAAACGUGUAAGUAACUGUGCACGUCUUGACGGUACCUAAUCAGAAAGCCACGGCUAACUACGUG